UACGGAGGGUGCGAGCGUUAUCCGGAUUUAUUGGGUUUAAAGGGUGCGUAGGCGGAAUAAUCAGUCAGGGGUGAAAGUUUGUGGCUCAACCAUAAAAUUGCCUUUGAUACUGUUAUUCUUGAGUAUAUUUGAGGUAGGCGGAAUGUGAUGUGUAGCGGUGAAAUGCAUAGAUAUAUCACAGAACACCGAUUGCGAAGGCAGCUUACUAAACUAUAACUGACGCUGAUGCACGAAAGCGUGGGUAUCGAACAGG
This 253-nucleotide ribosomal RNA is filed under the name uncultured bacterium. Its description in RNAcentral is "partial 16S ribosomal RNA". It matches the Rfam family "Bacterial small subunit ribosomal RNA", at positions 524 to 776 of the family's 1533-position model. The record is from RNAcentral.